AGCAGCCGCGGUAAUUCCAGCUCCAAUAGCGUAUAUUAAAGUUGUUGCAGUUAAAAAGCUCGUAGUUGAAUUUCGGGAUUGACGUGAUGGUCGUGCCUUACGGGGUAUGAACUGUUGCAGUCAAUUUCUCACCUUCUGGAGAAAUAUGAUGUCCUUAAUUGGGUGUCAUAUGGAACCAGAACUUUUACCUUGAAAAAUUAGAGUGUUUAAAGCAGGCUUAUUGCUCGAAUACAUUAGCAUGGAAUAAUAGAAUAGGACGGCAUGGUUCUAUUUUGUUGGUUUCUAGGAUCACCGUAAUGAUUAAUAGGGAUAGUUGGGGGCAUUAGUAUUCAAUUGUCAGAGGUGAAAUUCUUGGAUUUAUUGAAGACUAACUACUGCGAAAGCAUUUGCCAAGGAUGUUUUCAUUAAUCAAGAACGAAAGUUAGGGGAUCGAAGACGAUCAGAUACCGUCGUAGUCUUAACCAUAAACUAUGCCGACUAGGAAUCAGACGAUGUUAAUUUUUAAUGACUCGUUUG
RNAcentral lists this ribosomal RNA (516 nucleotides) under uncultured Entrophospora. RNAcentral's name for it is "SSU rRNA". It matches the Rfam family "Eukaryotic small subunit ribosomal RNA", at positions 569 to 1082 of the family's 1831-position model. The record is from RNAcentral. Lineage: Eukaryota; Fungi; Glomeromycota; Glomeromycetes; Entrophosporales; Entrophosporaceae.